This 253-nucleotide ribosomal RNA is filed under the name uncultured bacterium. Its description in RNAcentral is "partial 16S ribosomal RNA". It matches the Rfam family "Bacterial small subunit ribosomal RNA", at positions 524 to 776 of the family's 1533-position model. The record is from RNAcentral.
UACGUAGGGGGCCAGCGUUGUCCGGAUUUAUUGGGCGUAAAGAGCGUGUAGGCGGCCAGACAGGUCCGUUGUGAAAACUCGAGGCUCAACCUCGAGAUGUCGAUGGAAACCGUCUGGCUAGAGUCCGGAAGAGGAGUGUGGAAUUCCUGGUGUAGCGGUGAAAUGCGCAGAUAUCAGGAAGAACACCUAUGGCGAAGGCAGCACUCUGGGACGGUACUGACGCUGAGACGCGAAAGCGUGGGGAGCGAACAGG